GGCGCAGGCGGUUAGGUCAGUCUGGAGUGAAAUCCCGGGGCUCAACCUCGGAUUGUCUUUGGAUACUGCCUAGCUCGAGUACGGGAGAGGAGAGCGGAAUUCCUGGUGUAGCGGUGAAAUGCGUAGAUAUCAGGAGGAACACCGGUGGCGAAAGCGGCUCUCUGGCCCGAUACUGACGCUCAUGCCCGAAAGCGUGGGGAGCAAACG
RNAcentral lists this ribosomal RNA (207 nucleotides) under uncultured bacterium. Its description in RNAcentral is "partial 16S ribosomal RNA". It matches the Rfam family "Bacterial small subunit ribosomal RNA", at positions 568 to 774 of the family's 1533-position model. The record is from RNAcentral.